RNA transcript from Salvia hispanica, 1198 nucleotides. RefSeq lists it as uncharacterized. The record is from RefSeq and is a predicted model, not a curated record. Lineage: Eukaryota; Viridiplantae; Streptophyta; Magnoliopsida; Lamiales; Lamiaceae.
UCUUCCUCUCACACUAAAAAAAAAAAAAGAGAAGAAAAAAGAAAAAAAAAUGGUCUCCCCUCGCCAUUUUCUCUCUCUACUCAUCUUAUCAUCAAUACUCCCAGUGAGCUGGGGAGAAGCCUCAAUCUACGAAGCUCUGCAGCUCCACGGCCUCCCCAUGGGUCUUCUCCCCAAAGGGAUCACUAAUUUCAGCCUCGAAGCUUCCGGAAAGUUCGAGGCCCAUCUGGACCACGCCUGCAACGCCAAGUUCGAGAACGAGCUCCACUACGACAUCAUCAUCUCAGGCGCGCUCGGCUACGGCCGUAUCGACCAGGUGUCGGGGAUCUCGGCGCAGGAUUUGUUCCUUUGGUUCCCCGUCAUCGGAAUCCGCGUCGACGUUCCCAGCUCCGGUUUGAUCUACUUCGACGUCGGUGUCGUGUCCAAGCAGUUCUCUCUCUCGUCCUUCGACACUCCUAGGGAUUGUUUAGCCGUUUCUGAGGGAGAUCCCAUUUGGGAAGCUGCAAGUAUACGAGCUUGAUCACUGGAAUGCUCCUAGGAUGACGUGGUAGAUCUUUCACACGAGCACAGUGAUGUGCAUAUAGCUCAAUCACGUUGAAUACCUACGUUCACAGAUGUACAGAGAGUCGAGAGAAGUUGUUGCCUUGGAUCCUCCCCCGGUUGCACGAUCAGCAUUGCUUCCAUUGGUGGCGAAGAUGCGGAGAUGAGGAGGCGAGUGGCUCGUGGUUAGGAUUCAGCCAAAUGAUGCAGUUUUUUCUUCAUGAAGAAGUUAUUGGUUGGAGACAAAUAUAGGACCUUUUAGAUGCAAAACACUUCAAGUUUAGGAGGGAGAGAGAGAGUAUAGGCCAAUGGGAGAGGGGUGCUCAAUAUGACGUCUUUCUUGAAAAAACCUUCUAGCACUAGAAUAUGCAUGCUAUGUUAAGGUGUCCCUACAUUUAGGGCAAUGUAGAUGUCAACAAUCACUGCUCUGCUCCUCUUUAGUAGCAGAUUAUUUGCAGGAAUUCCACUCCUUUUCUCGAGCAGUAAUCCGCUUGAAUCAAGUAAUUUAGGGCAUGAGCGAGAAAUGGAUGACUCGUUUCUGGUUGAUCUUGAUAAUGAAGAUGAACUUCUGGAAGCAGAUAAUGACGUUGUUGAGCACAUGAAAGAAGAUGUAUAUGGUGAUUUAGCUGAUAUAAAGCACUUAACUAUGAUGAUCUGAUCU